This 1674-nucleotide long non-coding RNA is filed under the name Nicotiana tabacum (common tobacco). Its description in RNAcentral is "long non-coding RNA (NTAB_LNC010027)". The record is from RNAcentral. Lineage: Eukaryota; Viridiplantae; Streptophyta; Magnoliopsida; Solanales; Solanaceae.
AUGGAAUAAGAAGUUAUAUAUAUAUAAAAGAGGAUUUAGAAAAAAUGAUGUGGCAUAUCUCUUUAGCCAAGAAACACAUUUAUCUUUUUUCUCAUUUUUUUUGAAUUUUUUUCUUUUUCUUUUAGUCUUUUCAUUCAAUCCAACUUAUUAAAAGACUACAAUGUCUAUUAAAGAAAUAUUAAUGCUGACCAUUUGCUUUCCCUUAUUUCUUUAUUGCGUUUUCGGUUACACCAUAGUUAUUAUGGUUUUAAUGGGUUCUGCCCUUUGUAUGUUCUUCCUUUUUAAAGUUUUGUUUCAUUUCAUAUUUUCAGAUCUUUCUCCAUGCUAAUGUGGAGUUGUUCGAUAUGAAAAGGUAAGCAAAGAGUUCAUUUUCUAACUUUUGUUAUUUAACUUUCUGUAAGGUUUUUCUUAUAAAUUUUGUUGAAUCUUCAAGUCUUUGUCUAUUCACCUUAUGAUAUAUAUCCUAAUAUUUCGGGUUAUGUUAACAGGAAAGCAUACUAAAUUUUAGAGGGAUGAAACUGUUCACAUAUAUUUAUUCCUACAGAUUGUCAAUCAAAAGUUGUGAUCUUCCUCUGGCAUGGAGUGCAAUAUAUCAAUGAAAGGUCAUCAUCUCAACAUAACAAAACUUUUUUAAUUUCCAUUUCGCGUUGUAAUCACUAUAUGUACCUAGAUUACUACAACUAAUAUUGGGUAUAUAAAAUCUAAUCGAUAUACUUUUGCUUGUGUAUUAUAAUAUUUCUUGAAUAUUUUGUGUCUUGUAUUGGAACAAUUAUCAAUUUCUUUUGGUAACUAAUUGUUUUGCAAAUUGUACUUUUUUCUUUGUGUAUAAUUUUGUGGGUAUUUUAAAUUCGAUAAGAUUUAUGCCUCUUUUUUAUUGUAUAUUAUGGUGUUUUUUUCGGUUUGUCUUAUUUUUCAGGUAUAUGAAAUUUAGUCAGAUUUAUUUUUUGCUUUUCAGUUUAUGGUAUUUACAUUUGGAUUUUUGUGUUUAUGUUACCACAGUUGAAUCAAAUGAGAAAAUCAAAAGGAAAAAGGCCAGAAAAAAACUCAAGCUCAGACUGGUAAAAGCAAGACUACGGGAAAAAGAUGAUAGUUUGACUCCUUAGUGUUAUCAUUUCAACUAUUAGAAAGCUACUGAGAUGUAGUUAUGAAUGAAAAAAGCCCUAAGUCACAUUGCCGUUAGAGGAAGCUACUAGAUUGAAAUAUCAAAACAUUGGAGCAUUUCUUGGUUCAUCUAUAUGUUGAGUUAGAAGAUAAUAAACUGUAAAUUUGUUUUGUCUUAUGGGUUUUCUCUUCGCUAGAUGUAUAUCGAUUCUCGCUCUUUAUCUAAGGUAGUCAUAUUUAUACUUUAUUCUUCAGAUGGAUUUUUUGAUGAAAUAUAGUGCCAUCAUUUUUCUUAUUUUUUCAUUCAUGAGCUAUUGCAUGGAAGCUUCAAAGUGGAAUUUGGAAAGAUUAAAAUGUUAUUUAUCUUUUUCCUCCUUUUUCUGUGUGCCUUUUCUCCUAUUUUGUAUUAAUACAAUUAUUAAUCAAUAUUACUUUUCUAAUCAUAAUUCUUAAUUAAAAGAUACUUGCUCUGACCUUUUUGCUAUUAUAAAGCCUGAGUGUUAAUUAUUACUAUUUUGACUUUUCAUAUUUCUUAUCAAUGCGUAUGCAAUAAAACUAAUCCAUUCAAGUUUC